Molecule: long non-coding RNA, 944 nt
Organism: Arachis duranensis
Lineage: Eukaryota; Viridiplantae; Streptophyta; Magnoliopsida; Fabales; Fabaceae
Exons: 4
Source: RefSeq, a predicted model, not a curated record
UCCCCUCGUAUUUCCCAAUUUACCCUCUUUGUCUGCCUUCCUCCAGCUUCUCUGAUGUUGAAUCCUAGCCUUGCAUUGGAAAUCAUGGAGUUCGUGGGCGCCAAGGUCAGGAAAACUCCUUUUCAUGCCAGAUCCGUCUAUUCUCCACCUCAUAGAUCGAUCGCUAGUGUUGAUUCCUCGGCACCUGAGUAUUCGGUGCUAGUUCAGCCGCUUCGGGUAGCAAGUUCGAUGGGAUCCGUACCUGUGUUGAAGUGACCUAGCAAUGGUUAUAGAAAGCUGAAUCAUAAAUAACCCGAUAAUGCGCUACUUCCAAUGACCGAAUUGAAAAAGAAGGGCAACAAGGCAUCCUUUGAAAAAAGUAAGAGUUGUCUUGAAAGUUCUGAUGAAUCUUAUGACAAGCAACUUUAUGGAUGGUAUGAUGCUAUUCAGAGACAGAUUCGAAGAUCUCAAUACCAAAUGCGAUACAGUCAACCAGUUUGAAUAACAGUUUCCAUUGUUGUUCUCCUUUGCUUGAUUGUUUUAAUUGCGAUUCGCGCUAUGUAGAAGGAAGAAGGCUUAGACACACGUGUUGAUAUCAGUUUGUAGCUGGCAAGAGCAUGAGGAAUGACAAGCUUUUGCUUCAAGCUAAUUUAACAUUUCAAAUGCUUUAGGGGAUUUAAUAUUUAUAGCCAACCAUAGCAUUUGCUCAGUUAUUCAUUCGUUGCUAAAAGGUUCUCCGUUUCUUCUUUUUUUUUCCCCUUCCUAUUUUAAAAUUGUUCAUCAAGAGCUCUCUCUUGUAUUGGUAUCACAAGUCAUAAGAUGCAUGAGAUGGAGAUGAAAGAGGGAAUGAACAUGUUAGAUGUGAUAUAUACUAUUGUACCUUCUUGAUGAUCUUUGGUUUUGUACCGAAUCCUUUUGUAACAUGUACAUAUUCAAGAUAAUGUUUUAUUACUCUUUUCACUCAA